RNAcentral lists this ribosomal RNA (774 nucleotides) under uncultured Neocallimastigales. RNAcentral's name for it is "partial large subunit ribosomal RNA". It matches the Rfam family "Eukaryotic large subunit ribosomal RNA", at positions 23 to 648 of the family's 3401-position model. Lineage: Eukaryota; Fungi; Neocallimastigomycota; Neocallimastigomycetes; Neocallimastigales. The record is from RNAcentral.
AUAGAGACUCAGAGCUGCAUAUCAAUAAGCGGAGGAAAAGAAACUAACAAGGAUUCCCUUAGUAACGGCGAGUGAAGCGGGAAGAGCUCAAAUUUGAAAUCUUCAAGGUUCUACCUUGACGAAUUGUAGUUUAAAGAAGUGUUUUCUGUUAGAUGAGUAGCAAAAGUUCCUUGGAGUGGGACAUCAUAGAGGGUGAGAAUCCCGUAUUUGGUUAUUCAUUCUAGCUGUGUGAUACACUUUCAAAGAGUCGGAUUGUUUGGGAAUGCAGUCCAAAAUGGGUGGUAAAUUUCAUCUAAAGCUAAAUAUUGGCGAGAGACCGAUAGCGAACAAGUACCGUGAGGGAAAGAUGAAAAGAACUUUGAAAAGAGAGUUAAACAGUACGUGAAAUUGUCAAAAGGGAAGCGUUUGACACCAGUGUUGUUUUUCCGAAAAUCAAUUACGAAUGGCUGGAUUUUGUGUUGUAUUGACCUUAUCAGCUUUCUGCACUUUUUUCGAGUCUUUCUUAAUGCACUUUUCGGUUAACAAGUCAACAUCAAUUUCUUUUGUUGUAAAAGAGUAUUCGGAAGGUGGCUUUCUUUUCGGAGAAAGUGUUUAUAGCCCUAUACUUCUACAAUCGGAGAGAUUGAGGUCUGCAGCGUAGAUCCUUCGGGGUUAGAUACAUUUGUGCUAAGUUGUAGCUUUUCAUAGACAACUUGUUGACUAUGUUUAGUCAUGCGGCUUACUCGCUUGUGCUAUUUUACCUACGCUUAGGAUGUUGACGAUCAGCUGAGCGCG